CUCAGUGCGGUCAUUCUCCCUGUCCCUCACGUUCUCUGCCUCUCACGGAUGGGAGAAAACCUCCCCUCUCCCCUUCCUACUGCAGCCUCAAGAUCCAAGGGAGAAAAUAUGGGAAAGGAAGGGAAAAAGAAGAAAACGGAUUUAGGAGAACAAGAAGAUAAAGAAGAGGUGCAUAUAUUGCAUCUUCCCCACCAUUUGCUCAUUGCUCUCCAAGGGGAAACCCUAGGUGGUACAUCUUUCGGACCAUGCUUAGGUCACGUUCUUGAUCUUCGGUGAAGGCAAGUAAAUGUGUAGCGGUUGUUUUGUUACAAUUUUAACAUGAACUUGAAUAAGAUGCGGGUUGGGCAGUAGCAGCACGUUCACACUUCAUAAUUUCAUCUCUCUUUUUUUGUGUGUUGUAAUAAUAAAAGAACUUAAUAUGUAACGUUGUUGGCUUAAAUUUGAAGUGUGGUCAUGAUGUUAAACUUAAUGUCUUACUUGGAGUCUCUUGUUAAGAUGAUCUCAUGCUAGUGUGUUAAAACUUACAUGUUUUAUCUUCUUGUUA
Long non-coding RNA from Panicum virgatum (switchgrass), 544 nucleotides. RefSeq lists it as uncharacterized. Lineage: Eukaryota; Viridiplantae; Streptophyta; Magnoliopsida; Poales; Poaceae. The transcript has 3 exons. The record is from RefSeq and is a predicted model, not a curated record.